Molecule: transfer RNA, 90 nt
Filed under: Sauvagesia rhodoleuca
Lineage: Eukaryota; Viridiplantae; Streptophyta; Magnoliopsida; Malpighiales; Ochnaceae
Description: tRNA-Ser
Rfam family: tRNA
About the family: Transfer RNA (tRNA) molecules are approximately 80 nucleotides in length.
Source: RNAcentral
GGAGAGAUGGCCGAGUGGUUGAUAGCUCCGGUCUUGAAAACCGGUAUAGUUCACAAGAAACUAUCGAGGGUUCGAAUCCCUCUCUCUCCU